Long non-coding RNA from Mauremys mutica (yellowpond turtle), 554 nucleotides. RefSeq lists it as uncharacterized. The record is from RefSeq and is a predicted model, not a curated record. The transcript is spliced from 3 exons. Lineage: Eukaryota; Metazoa; Chordata; Testudines; Geoemydidae.
UGGAACUGGAAGCAUUUCAGAGAAUGCUACCAUGGAGGUCCUGGACUUCAGUCUCUUACCUAGCAGCCUAAAUUUGGCCUCCAGGACAUCUCUCCUUUCCCUAUGUCAUUAGUACCUCCAUGUACCACAGUCACUAGCUCCUACCCAGCACUUCACAUAAGUCUAUCUAGAUGUCUCGAGAGAUCCGCAACCUUCACACCAGGCAGGCAACUCACCAUGCGUUUCUCCCAGUCAUUACAAACCCAGCUAUCUAGGUCUCUAAUGAUCAAAUUGCCCAUUACUAAUGCCUGUCUCUUUCUAACAACUGGAAUUCCAUCCCCCAGAGAGGUAUCCUCAGUGCGAGACGAUACCACAUCAUCAUCUGGAAGGAGGGUCCCAACUAUCAUCAUAAAGAGAAAUAAAACAUAAGAAAAGGGAAACUCCUAACAAACAAUAUGUGUAUUUCUGUUUAAUUUUCAGGCAAAAGAGAUAUAGAAAUUGACAAACGAGAUAUAGAAAUUGAAAAACAAGAUAAAGAAAUAAGUAAGUGUCAUUAUCCUUCCUCUGACAAGAAA